RNAcentral lists this ribosomal RNA (412 nucleotides) under uncultured soil bacterium. Its description in RNAcentral is "bacterial SSU rRNA". It matches the Rfam family "Bacterial small subunit ribosomal RNA", at positions 59 to 519 of the family's 1533-position model. The record is from RNAcentral.
CAGUCGAACGAACCUUCGGGUUAGUGGCGGACGGGUGAGUAACACGUGGGAACGUACCUUUUGGUUCGGAAUAACGCAGAGAAAUUUGCGCUAAUACCGAAUGUGCCCUUCGGGGGAAAGAUUUAUCGCCAUUAGAGCGGCCCGCGUUAGAUUAGCUAGUUGGAGAGGUAAAGGCUCACCAAGGCUACGAUCUAUAGCUGGUCUGAGAGGAUGAUCAGCCACAUUGAGACUGAGACACGGCCCAAACUCCUACGGGAGGCAGCAGUGGGGAAUCUUGCGCAAUGGGCGAAAGCCUGACGCAGCCAUGCCGCGUGAAUGAUGAAGGUCUUAGGAUUGUAAAAUUCUUUCAGUAGGGACGAUAAUGACGGUACCUACAGAAGAAGCCCCGGCUAACUUCGUGCCAGCAGCCGCG